AGGGCGUUUACCACGGUGUGAUUCAUGACUGGGGUGAAGUCGUAACAAGGUAACCCUAGGGGAACCUGGGGUUGGAUCACCUCCUUA
Molecule: ribosomal RNA, 87 nt
Filed under: Aeromonas veronii
Lineage: Bacteria; Pseudomonadati; Pseudomonadota; Gammaproteobacteria; Aeromonadales; Aeromonadaceae
Also listed under: 5 other names
Description: partial 16S ribosomal RNA
Rfam family: Bacterial small subunit ribosomal RNA
Source: RNAcentral